RNAcentral lists this ribosomal RNA (253 nucleotides) under uncultured bacterium. RNAcentral describes it as "partial 16S ribosomal RNA". It matches the Rfam family "Archaeal small subunit ribosomal RNA", at positions 474 to 727 of the family's 1478-position model. The record is from RNAcentral.
UACCAGCACCCCGAGUGGGCGGGACGAUUAUUGGGCCUAAAGCAUCCGUAGCCGGUUCUACAAGUCUUCCGUUAAAUCCACCUGCUUAACAGAUGGGCUGCGGAGGAUACUAUGGAGCUAGGAGGCGGGAGAGGCAAGCGGUACUUAGUGGGUAGGGGUAAAAUCCGUUGAUCCAUUGAAGACCACCAGUGGCGAAGGCGGCUUGCCAGAACGCACUCGACGGUGAGGGAUGAAAGCUGGGGGAGCAAACCGG